RNAcentral lists this long non-coding RNA (3063 nucleotides) under Vombatus ursinus (common wombat). RNAcentral describes it as "lncRNA (ENSVURG00010002682.1)". The record is from RNAcentral. Lineage: Eukaryota; Metazoa; Chordata; Mammalia; Diprotodontia; Vombatidae.
GUUGGGCCAAGACUUUAGUGAGUACGCAUGGAGUUAGAGAUCCCAUCAUGUGUCCCUCCUACACAGGGAUUCAGGAGCUGAGCCUGGGAGACCAAGAUGCCCCAUCCAACUUCUGCCAGUGAGUUCUAAGACUUUGGACCUCAGGAAGUCCGGGAGGGACCGGCCCCAGGAGCACAAAGGGGUUCAGUUUCCCAGGAAGCCAUCCCUGGUAGCUCCUCAGGGUAUUCUCCCCGCUGCUGCAACUCAGGGGAGCUGCUGGAGGUGGGUAGGUGGGAGGCAGCUUCAAAAGCCUGGGUCCUAGAUGGGGGUGUCACCCUCCAGCUCCCACAGUAAGGUGUUGAGUGUUUGCCAAGUUCCCCUGCGCAUAGUCAGGAAUGUUCGCCCUUUCCCAGGGCAUCCAUUCAUCAGAGGCUUGGGAUCUUUCUCACCAGACCUGGGAACAGUGAACUGGAAGAGAGGCCAGCUUCUCCAAAGUCCCUGAACCUCCCUGCCCCGGGAUCAACAUCAAGAGACAGUGGUUCGCCCCUCACCAUAGAAAGUGACAUGGACCUCACAGCCAAUCUGCUGCCCUCUGGUGGGAUGCACUCCCAUCGGCUCACCUUUCGGACCCCAGUUACUGAGAGCACUCUUGGUCCGCACUUGCCCAAUCCCUCACUUCCUGGGAGCCCCAGUUCACAGGUCCAGGAUAAGGAAGAGGUCAGCUCAUGCCCCUUUGGGUCUAAGGCCCUGAGCCUCACAUCUACUUUACCGUUCAGCUUGGGUACCAGCCGGUCCAUCUUCUUGGAGCCCCGGAAGCCACUGAGGGGAGACCCUGCACCUGAGAAGUACUGGGGUCAGGCACACCCCUGGGCAGGGACUCCCAGUCUGAACCCAAACUCUAGACUAGGUCUUGUUCCUACCACUCUGCCCUGGGUUCGGGAUAAACCCUGGACCUUGCCUGCUGACUCCUCUGUGUUACAGAGGGAGGUACCUGAGACUCCAAGGGCCCCUCCCAUUCCUGUGGAAGUGGUGAUGGGCAAAGAUCCAACAGUAAUAACCCCUGGGGCGCAGGGAGAGCCCUUGGACUUAGGGGCUGAACUCCAGGGAAGGGAGCAGGGAGGGGUAUCCUCAGAGGGACCUGGAGAGGAAGCAGGAGAGGGUGAGGAUAGACCAAUGGACAGUAGGGCCAGUUUAAGUGGGGGAGACUGCAAGACGGACAGUCAAAAGCUAAAACUAGGUCAGGAGUGUUGGGUCAGUUCCCUGAAACCCUCUGUGGAAGAUAGCUAUGGGCGCCAAGUGAGAGAGGCAGGCUGCAUGCUUUUGGAAUGGUUUCGAUGCGUCUUCCUGGACAGUGACAAUCACAGUUUCUCCCUGCUCGACUCUGGCCUGGCCUUGACCACUGGUGGCCUUACCAUGAAUGCUGGCAGCCAGGAACACCCGGCUCUGCGUGUGGCCUUCCUAACUAUGAGGAAUGGCAGGAAGCUAGGCAUGGCAUUCCCUGGUUCCAACCUCUUCUACUACUACUCCCUGGGCCUUAACUUCUUUGUCACUGCUCAGCUCAGCAGCCACUGGUUCCGAGUUCAAGACCGUGUCACUGGUGAGCAGAUGCUGAUGAAGAAGGUGCCUGUGGUCUCCGACUGGCAGAAGAUGCUUCAUCACUUCCUAUUCCUUCCCCCGGGGCCGGGACUUCUGGUACCCUACGCAGUCCUGUAUGACCGCCAGGGCUCUCUGCUCUACCUUAUGGAGGACCCUGGAGUUCUAACUGUGGGGCAGCCACCAGCAGGUCAGCAGCUGGACAGACUGAAGUGCCUCCUGGAGAUUCUCAGCUUCCUGCAAUUCUGCCAACACCACGGCUUGCAGCUUGAGGAAGUGGACUCAGGCCUGCUUUAUACCCACCAGGGAAUCUGUUUUGACCCCAGUGGACUCAGCAGCAAUGAAGGACUUUAUGUUUUCAGAAAGACUUUGAGAAAUGCGCUCCGGCUGGCGUGGAACACCCCACAGGUACCUUUUGGGGCUCUCUCUCACUCCUCUCCCACUCCAACCCUCAUAUGAGAGAUACUGUGGUAUUGGGUAGAAGUCUGGCCUUAGCAUCAGGGAGAUCUAGGUUCAGAACCUGCUAGUGACAUGUCCUGAGGUGACUGAGCCAAUCAGGCCCUUUAGUGUCCCAGGCGACUCUCUGCCACCUCAUGGUCCCCUCUCCUUAGGGCACUGAUGGGGGCAGAAGAGGAGUGGACCCAGAUCUUCUAGGGUGAAGGGAAACGGGGGUGAGUCCUGGCCUUGGUGGGAGCUAGAGACCAACAGUCUCUACAUAUGUGAGCUCUUCUUACUGGGUCUGCUCACCCGGGACAGGAGGACACCCCAGCAGCAGAGGCCCUGUUGGAACAGAUGUGGAGGUGGCUGGAGGAGGACAUCAGGGGCGAUGAAGAGGAUCUGGAGGAGGCCACUACUUCUCUUGACCACCCUGGCAUCCCAUGAACGGAGGCCCCUGCCAGACCUCAGGGAACAGUGGGACACAGCACUUUAUAGCACCAAAGCAUUCUGACCUUCUAAAGUCAGAAUUGUCUCUCCAGAUUGUUUUUCACUGCCCGUUUCACAGAUGGGAGACAACUUACUCUCAGGUCACCCCAGCUGGCCUGGGGCUACCUCCAACACGAGAAACUUAAGCAUCCUGAUUCCCAGCAUACCAAGGACCAGCUCCUGUUUUCUUCCUGAUCUGCCUUAUGGGGGGAGAACUCUGGGUCACUCUCAGGACUUUGCCCAGGGACAUGCUGGCCAUAUUUUACUCUCAAGGAACCCCAGUGCUCACAUGCUGAGUACCCCAGCCCAGACUUCCUCACCUCAGGGUUAAGGUCCUGGGUUCUCCACUCCAGUGACUACCUGCUCCAAGAACUUGGAGGAGGGGGCUGCUUGCCCCACCCCAAGAGGCACAGGUAGUCUGGGAUCUCUUCAGCCUCUCACAGAAGUGCCCACGGAAGGUGGGCCACCAGGGUUUUCCCGAAGAGAAGGGAACAUUCCUGGGGGCCACCAUGGUGCUGUUUUUAUUUGGAAAAUAAAUUCCCAAGGAAAACACUGCCCCUCUUGUUC